AGACCUCUGAUCAGAAAAGACUACCCGCUGAGUUUAAGCAUAUCACUAAGCGGAGGAGAAGAAACUAACCAGGAUUUCCCUAGUAACGGCGAGCGAACCGGAAAGAGCCCAGCUUGAAAAUCGCGG
This 126-nucleotide ribosomal RNA is filed under the name Leucobryum scabrum. RNAcentral describes it as "partial 26S rRNA". It matches the Rfam family "Eukaryotic large subunit ribosomal RNA", at positions 1 to 126 of the family's 3401-position model. The record is from RNAcentral. Lineage: Eukaryota; Viridiplantae; Streptophyta; Bryopsida; Dicranales; Leucobryaceae. RNAcentral also lists the same sequence under 4 other names.